RNAcentral lists this Y RNA (102 nucleotides) under Prolemur simus (greater bamboo lemur). RNAcentral describes it as "Y RNA (ENSPSMG00000005082.1)". It matches the Rfam family "Y RNA". From Rfam's summary of the family: Y RNAs are components of the Ro ribonucleoprotein particle (Ro RNP), in association with Ro60 and La proteins. The Y RNAs and Ro60 and La proteins are well conserved, but the function of the Ro RNP is not known. The record is from Rfam by way of RNAcentral. Lineage: Eukaryota; Metazoa; Chordata; Mammalia; Primates; Lemuridae.
GGUGGGUCCGAGUGCAGUGGUGUUUACAACUAAUUGAUCACAACCAGUUACAGAUUCCUUUGUUCCUUCUCCACUCCCACUGCUCCACUUGACCAGCUUUAA